CGGUCUGGGGGUUGGGCUCAGAACACGGGGCUCUGGGCACCUUUCGAGCCCGGCAGGCUCUCGCUCCAGGGCGGAGGCGCCUCCAGUCCCUGGCUCGGGCUCCGUGCUCGGGAGUGGUGCUGCAGGCCGCGUCUAGGGUCUCCCAAACCUUGCCACAGCCACAGCCAGUCCUGGUGAGCUCGCUUCUGGGCCCCGCGCAGCCCAGCGCCCCACCACAGCCAUUACAAGCCACGGGAAAGUCCAUGGUGUGUGAUUGAGUCUAGCCGGAGCUAUUGGCUAACAGACAGCCACUGCCUUCAUACAACAAGACAACGUGCAAUCUACCCCUGCAGAGGCACUAAUGAUACAUUUGUUAAAUUCUCAUAAUACUGACUCAUGAUGUCAGGGGGACAUAUGGAUACUCAGCACUUCUGACAAACAAACCCCGAGGAGCCUCAAGUUGUGAACACCCAGAACUGUGGCAACCAGAAGUUACAGGCCAUUUUUGAAAACAUCAUGCAUUUAAGACAUGAUCUGAUACUCCUUAAAAUCCAUGGGAAUCAGUCGACUGAUUUUAUUAGGUUUUGAGGAGGCCUUCAAAACACAGGCCUGGAUUAGAGUGGCGUGCAGCUGUAUCACCUCAGCAGGAGCUUUGAGACACCAGGGAAACUUUGCUAGCUGCUAUACCCCUUAAGCAUCUGCCAUUGAUUUCAGGAUUAUGCAAGGGGAGUAAUGGAAUUUAUCAGGGACAGUUAUGAAUCAACGUUGUAUGGAUCAAAAUACAGUAGAGAGUUAUGAACACAAAGGUUACAAACUGACCAGUCAACCACACACCUCAUUUGGAACCAGAAGUAUGCAAUCAGGCACAGA
Molecule: long non-coding RNA, 849 nt
Organism: Mauremys reevesii (Reeves's turtle)
Lineage: Eukaryota; Metazoa; Chordata; Testudines; Geoemydidae
Exons: 3
Source: RefSeq, a predicted model, not a curated record